AUGAACGCUAGCUACAGGCUUAACACAUGCAAGUCGAGGGGCAGCAGGAUCUAGCAAUAGAUUGCUGGCGACCGGCGCACGGGUGAGUAACACGUAUCCAACCUGCCGAUAACUCGGGGAUAGCCUUUCGAAAGAAAGAUUAAUACCCGAUGGCAUAAUUAGACCGCAUGGUUUGAUUAUUAAAGAAUUUCGGUUAUCGAUGGGGAUGCGUUCCAUUAGGCAGUUGGUGAGGUAACGGCUCACCAAACCUUCGAUGGAUAGGGGUUCUGAGAGGAAGGUCCCCCACAUUGGAACUGAGACACGGUCCAAACUCCUACGGGAGGCAGCAGUGAGGAAUAUUGGUCAAUGGACGAGAGUCUGAACCAGCCAAGUAGCGUGAAGGAUGACUGCCCUAUGGGUUGUAAACUUCUUUUAUAUGGGAAUAAAGUUUUCCACGUGUGGAAUUUUGUAUGUACCAUAUGAAUAAGGAUCGGCUAACUCCGUGCCAGCAGCCGCGGUAAUACGGAGGAUCCGAGCGUUAUCCGGAUUUAUUGGGUUUAAAGGGAGCGUAGGUGGACAGUUAAGUCAGUUGUGAAAGUUUGCGGCUCAACCGUAAAAUUGCAGUUGAUACUGGCUGUCUUGAGUACAGUAGAGGUGGGCGGAAUUCGUGGUGUAGCGGUGAAAUGCUUAGAUAUCACGAAGAACUCCGAUUGCGAAGGCAGCUCACUGGACUGCAACUGACACUGAUGCUCGAAAGUGUGGGUAUCAAACAGGAUUAGAUACCCUGGUAGUCCACACAGUAAACGAUGAAUACUCGCUGUUUGCGAUAUACAGUAAGCGGCCAAGCGAAAGCAUCAAGUAUUCCACUUGGGGAGUACGCCGGCAACGGUGAAACUCAAAG
RNAcentral lists this ribosomal RNA (880 nucleotides) under uncultured organism. RNAcentral's name for it is "SSU rRNA". It matches the Rfam family "Bacterial small subunit ribosomal RNA", at positions 29 to 906 of the family's 1533-position model. The record is from RNAcentral.